AAAGCGUAACAAGGUCUCCGUAGGUGAACCUGCGGAGGGAUCAUUACACAAAUAUGAAGGCGGGCUGGAACCUCUCGGGGUUACAGCCUUGCUGAAUUAUUCACCCUUGUCUUUUGCGUACUUCUUGUUUCCUUGGUGGGUUCGCCCACCACUAGGACAAACAUAAACCUUUUGUAAUUGCAAUCAGCGUCAGUAACAAAUUAAUAAUUACAACUUUCAACAACGGAUCUCUUGGUUCUGGCAUCGAUGAAGAACGCAGCGAAAUGCGAUAAGUAGUGUGAAUUGCAGAAUUCAGUGAAUCAUCGAAUCUUUGAACGCACAUUGCGCCCUUUGGUAUUCCAAAGGGCAUGCCUGUUCGAGCGUCAUUUGUACCCUCAAGCUUUGCUUGGUGUUGGGCGUCUUGUCUCUAGCUUUGCUGGAGACUCSCCUUAAAGUAAUUGGCAGCCGGCCUACUGGUUUCGGAGCGCAGCACAAGUCGCACUCUCUAUCAGCAAAGGUCUAGCAUCCAUUAAGCCUUUUUUUCAACUUUUGACCUCGGAUCAGGUAGGGAUACCCGCUGAACUUAAGCAUAUCAAUAAGCGGAGGAAAAGAAACCAACAGGGAUUGCCCUAGUAACGGCGAGUGAAGCGGCAACAGCUCAAAUUUGAAAUCUGGCUCUUUUAGAGUCCGAGUUGUAAUUUGCAGAGGGCGCUUUGGGCUUUGGCAGCGGUCCAAGUUCCUUGGAACAGACGUCACAG
Molecule: ribosomal RNA, 737 nt
Filed under: Alternaria sp. B14
Lineage: Eukaryota; Fungi; Ascomycota; Dothideomycetes; Pleosporales; Pleosporaceae
Description: eukaryotic LSU rRNA
Rfam family: 5.8S ribosomal RNA (bases 212-365)
Source: RNAcentral